GAUGAAGAACGCAGUGAAAUGUGAUACGUAAUGUGAAUUGCAGAAUUCAGUGAAUCAUCGAAUCUUUGAACGCAUAUUGCGCUCUCUGGUAUUCCGGAGAGCAUGCUUGUUUGAGUAUCAGUAAACACCUCAACUCCCCUUUCUUUUUUGAAAUGGGAGCUGGACUUGAGUGAUCCCAACGCUUUUCUCACCGAAAAGUGGCGGGUUACUUGAAAUGCAGGUGCAGCUGGACUUUUCUCUGAGCUAAAAGCAUAUCUAUUUAGUCUGCCUAAAAACAGAUUAUUACCUUUGCUGCAGCUAACAUAAAGGAGAUUAGUUCUUGUGCUGACUGAUGCAGGAUUCACAGAGACAGCUUCGGCUGGCCUUUGUAAACUCGAUCUCAAAUCAAGUAAGACUACCCGCUGAACUUAAGCAUAUCAAUAAGCGGAGGA
Molecule: unclassified non-coding RNA, 431 nt
Filed under: soil metagenome
Description: partial contains 5.8S ribosomal RNA, internal transcribed spacer 2, and large subunit ribosomal RNA
Rfam family: 5.8S ribosomal RNA (bases 1-120)
Source: RNAcentral